GUUAGGUCAACACCCUCAGGAUUUUCAGAGUUGAAAGGGACCUCCCUGGCCAUGUAUUCCAGCCCACACUUGAUCAAGAGUCUCCAGUGCAGUGUCUCCAAUAAGGGGCGAUCCAGUCUUUGCUUCAUAACUCCAAUGUGAUGGGGGUUGUUUUUCAGCUGUUUUCUGGUAGUGACCGACUCUUCGUGACCCUAUUCAGGGUUUUCUUGACAGAGCUCUGUCCUCUGGGACCAAACAGCCAAUCAGCUCCCUUUGAAGUAGAAGGCACCGGGGUAAGAAUUGAGAGGGACAUGUAAGCUCCCCACAAGUAUCUGAAGGAGGAGACCUCAGCCCCGCUCAGCUUGACCAAGCAGAUUCCGAUCCAUAAAAGUGCCCGGCACAUAAUUCCAGGUCCAGUUUACCAAGGCCAUGAUUUUGGGCCCGAGGCCCCACAGACUGACUCAUCGCGAGCCUCAAAUUCCCAGGGUAAUGUAGAGGAACUGAGCGUGCUGGGGCAGUCCUCUGAGUCUGUCCCCUGCAGCAACCCGCCCUGGGCCUGGCUGUGAGGGCAGCCCAGGUGACCUGCCUGUCCCGGGGGCCCAGACUCCUGUCCUGGGCUCGGCUCCAGUGUGUGGAAGGUUCACAUGUUCUUGGGAAUCACUGAAUAAGCAGAAACCUCCUUGGGUCACUCCUAGGCAUCAGUGGAGCUGAAGCAGCCCCUCUCCCCACCCUGCCCAGAUAUCUCCCUUGUCUGCCUGGCAUUCCACCAUUAAAGUCACACCUGAUAAUUUGGGCUUUAUUUCAAGAAGGGAAGCUGGAGUGGAGGGACAGCAGGGCCUGGGUAGAGCAGAGUGCUAGCCAAUCUCAGAAGGAGUGGCUGGCAUAGAGAAAAGUGGUUAUGGGAGAAGAGCUGCCAGUGUUCCCCAACCUACAUCCA
This is a long non-coding RNA of Dromiciops gliroides (monito del monte), 916 nucleotides long. RefSeq lists it as uncharacterized. The record is from RefSeq and is a predicted model, not a curated record. The transcript is spliced from 3 exons. Lineage: Eukaryota; Metazoa; Chordata; Mammalia; Microbiotheria; Microbiotheriidae.